UAAUAGUGUAUAUUAAAGUUGUUGCAGUUAAAAAGCUCGUAGUUGAAUGUUGGUGUCGAACGAGCGGUCAGCUUCGGCUGUACUGCUCUCUCGACUCCUUCCUUCUGUGGACUACGUCGCACUUUACUGUGUGGCGCUAGGACGCAGAUCGUUUACUGUGAAAAAAUUAGAGUGUUCAAAGCAGGCUGUACGCUUGAAUACAUUAGCAUGGAAUAAUGGAAUAGGACGUCGGGCCUAUUUUGUUGGUUCUAGGACCGUCGUAAUGAUUAAUAGGGACAGUUGGGGCCGUUUAUAUUCCGUAGUCAGAGGUGAAAUUCUUGGAUUUACGGAAGACGAACAUCUGCGAAAGCAUUUGCCAAGGAUGUUUUCAUUGA
RNAcentral lists this ribosomal RNA (374 nucleotides) under uncultured eukaryote. Its description in RNAcentral is "partial 18S ribosomal RNA". It matches the Rfam family "Eukaryotic small subunit ribosomal RNA", at positions 592 to 976 of the family's 1831-position model. The record is from RNAcentral.